This 461-nucleotide ribosomal RNA is filed under the name uncultured bacterium. RNAcentral's name for it is "partial 16S ribosomal RNA". It matches the Rfam family "Bacterial small subunit ribosomal RNA", at positions 338 to 795 of the family's 1533-position model. The record is from RNAcentral.
CCUACGGGAGGCAGCAGUGAGGAAUAUUGGUCAAUGGGCGGAAGCCUGAACCAGCCAAGUCGCGUGAGGGAUUAAGGCCCUGCGGGUCGUAAACCUCUUUUGCCGGGGAGCAGAGGUCCGGACGUGUCCGGGCCGGGAGAGUACCCGGAGAAAAAGCAUCGUCUAACUCCGUGCCAGCAGCCGCGGUAAUACGGAGGAUGCGAGCGUUAUCCGGAUUUAUUGGGUUUAAAGGGAGCGUAGGCCGGCUUUUAAGUCAGCUGGGAAAGUCCGCGGCUCAACCGUGGAAUUGCAGUUGAAACGGGAGGCCUUGAGUGCACACAGGGAUGCCGGAAUGCAUGGUGUAGCGGUGAAAUGCGUAGAUAUCAUGAAGAACUCCGAUCGCGAAGGCAAGUGUCCGGGGUGCAACUGACGCUGAGGCUCGAAAGUGCGGGUAUCAAACAGGAUUAGAUACCCUGGUAGUC